UCCAGUUUCAAUUUGUUUCAUUUUCAAGCAAAAGCUGAUGAAAUUGCAAAGCUAAUGAAUGAGAAUAAGCAACUUAAAGUUGUGAUUGGGGAUUUGAAGUGAGACUUGAACGGCCAAGAGGCAAAGCGAGAUGAACUACAACUAAGUGGUUAAUUGUCCCUUAAAAACUGAGCAUUACAGUUUCCUCGUUGUUCACGUAUACCUCCCACGACCAAACAGUACCCUUUCCCCUCUGGUGAGUUUGUUUAUGAGUUUGUUUAUCUUUAAAUAAAUAUUCCUUCAAAAGCUGGAUUCGCUCUUGUUUGGAGUUUGUCAUGAGUUUAAAGAAGAAGGCUAUUUAACUGUCAGUUAUUUAUUCUCUGCCCCUUGUUCUUGAUACCUGAUGCAUGUAUGAAGUCAUUGAUUUCAACUUUCUAGAUGAUUUAUGCAUUGUUUUUU
Molecule: long non-coding RNA, 438 nt
Organism: Hibiscus syriacus
Lineage: Eukaryota; Viridiplantae; Streptophyta; Magnoliopsida; Malvales; Malvaceae
Exons: 3
Source: RefSeq, a predicted model, not a curated record